GCCGACGUAGCUCAGUUGGUAGAGCAGCGGUUUUGUAAACCGCUGGUCGGGGGUUCAAUUCCUCUCGUCGGCU
RNAcentral lists this transfer RNA (73 nucleotides) under Candidatus Omnitrophota bacterium. Its description in RNAcentral is "tRNA-Thr". It matches the Rfam family "tRNA". Rfam says of the family: Transfer RNA (tRNA) molecules are approximately 80 nucleotides in length. Their secondary structure includes four short double-helical elements and three loops (D, anti-codon, and T loops). The record is from RNAcentral. Lineage: Bacteria; Pseudomonadati; Candidatus Omnitrophota.